GUACAAACUCCUGGACUUCUGUCAUUGUCCUGGAGAUGAUCUCUGCCGGUGGAUUUUCCCCAUAAAAGGACAACCUAAACUGUAGCUGCCUUUGAAACUCCGCUUGCUCUUGUCCUUCUGCUGAAUCACUACGUUCAGGAACUGAACCUCCAUCUGUUUGGUAUUCCGCCAUGACUUCUGUGAUGAGAACAACUUUAGUUUUAUUGCUGGCUGGAAUACCCCUUGCUUCCAGGAGAUCUUUUAGCGUGGAGCGUUUUAGUGUAGAAUAGUCAAUCUCCAUCCGUACUCCAU
This is a non-coding RNA of Pelobates cultripes (western spadefoot toad), 291 nucleotides long. The record is from the annotation of a GenBank genome assembly. NCBI's taxonomy places the organism in Eukaryota, Metazoa, Chordata, Amphibia, Anura, Pelobatidae.